Molecule: long non-coding RNA, 590 nt
Organism: Cucurbita maxima (winter squash)
Lineage: Eukaryota; Viridiplantae; Streptophyta; Magnoliopsida; Cucurbitales; Cucurbitaceae
Exons: 2
Source: RefSeq, a predicted model, not a curated record
GGCCCACAAACUGAAAUGCUCAUGGAAUUUCCCUUCCUUUGCCAUGCAUGCAAUUGCUGUGACCAACCUAACAUGGCUCUGAAAGAUGCUUACAAUCAUGGACAUGACACCAAUAUUUUCGCAGUACCAAAAGACCCUUGGACUUAGCAUUGGGCUGAAAAGAAGGCUAUCUUCUUAUGGCCUACACGGAUUGGCUCACAAGGCUAAGCUCAGCCCAUUUACAAAGGGACUUGGGUAAAAGAGAGGAGGAGGAAGAAGAAGAGCCAUACAUUAGUUAAGUGGAUAGAGAGUUAGAAGAAUUUGUGAAAUUUGAUUCAUGUCAUUUAGUGUCAUGUCAUGUUGGUUCUAAUUUCUCUCAAUCUUUUUGGUGAUAAUAUUAUUCAGAAAGAAGACAAAUGCAUGUGCCCAAAGAAGAUCUAUAUCCUCGUGGAAGGUGAUGUUUAGAGCCAAAGCCAAAGCCAAAGCCAAAGCCAAAUCCAAAGCCAAAGACAAAACUAAACGUUAGCUUUUUUUUCUCCUAUUUAACGUUUUGUUUCUUUUUCCCAUUGUCUUAUUUACAAAAACCAAAACUAUACAACUUGCUUUUGUGA